RNAcentral lists this ribosomal RNA (435 nucleotides) under uncultured bacterium. RNAcentral describes it as "partial 16S ribosomal RNA". It matches the Rfam family "Bacterial small subunit ribosomal RNA", at positions 29 to 507 of the family's 1533-position model. The record is from RNAcentral.
AGCGAACGCUGGCGGCAGGCUUAACACAUGCAAGUCGAACGGGCUUCUUCGGAUGUCAGUGGCAGACGGGUGAGUAACACGGGGGAACGUGCCCUUCGGUUCGGAAUAACUCAGGGAAACUUGAGCUAAUACCGGAUACGCCCUCUUGGGGCAAGGUUGACUGCCGAAGGAUCGGCCCGCGUCUGAUUAGCUUGUUGGUGGGGUAACGGACUACCAAGGCGACGAUCAGUAGCUGGUCUGAGAGGAUGAUCAGCCACACUGGGACUGAGACACGGCCCAGACUCCUACGGGAGGCAGCAGUGGGGAAUAUUGGACAAUGGGCGCAAGCCUGAUCCAGCCAUGCCGGGUGAGUGAUGAAGGCCUUAGGGUUGUAAAGCUCUUUUGUCCGGGACGAUAAUGACGGUACCGGAAGAAUAAGCCCCGGCUAACUUCGUG